Poecilia latipinna (sailfin molly) is the source of this 1038-nucleotide long non-coding RNA. RefSeq lists it as uncharacterized. The record is from RefSeq and is a predicted model, not a curated record. NCBI's taxonomy places the organism in Eukaryota, Metazoa, Chordata, Actinopteri, Cyprinodontiformes, Poeciliidae. The transcript has 2 exons.
ACAUAAAAGUCCGGUGUCAACAUUCUUGUUGCUGACAGACACACACACACACACACACACACACACACACACACACACACACACACACACACACACACACACACAGUUACUGAGGAGUGGAAUUUCUCCCACUGGAGUUCAGGGAACAGGUGUCCAGUGGUUUUAGUAACUCCCUGAUUUCUGUCCUUAUGCAUCAAUAGGAUGAAUCACAAACUUAUCUGCUGACGCCAUCGCUGCAGGAAGGCCAGCCAGAAAUGAGAUCUCAUUACUGGUUGGUUCUUCUGGCUGAGCUGGGAGCCAGGCCUGGCAGAGCGAGACACACACUGCGACAGCAGCGCUGCUGACACACUUACACACAUUUUGUGUUACCAGCCCCAACCCUAAAAUGGCUUUUCAGAAAACUUUACCCAGCUUUCCAAAGAUGUUGCCCACUCCUUCACACCCAAAUCCCAGUAAGAAAGGGGAUGAAGUGGGAUUUUUAGGAAGUACACUGUACAUACAGAACACUCACACAAACAAACACAGACAUCCUGUCCAAGUUUCACAGCAAGAAGACAGAUUGGAGUCAGUGUGAGCGUGGUGAGACGAAUGUUUUCUGGCAGUCAGUGAUAAAGAUGACAUCACAGCACAGCCAUGGUGAUGAACAAUGUGUUCUGAUCCGUCUCCACUGAAAAGAGCAACGUCCCUCAUUCUUCUCCCAUAGUCCGGUUCGCAGCCCAAACAAACAUUCAGCGUGCCGUUUUCCUUCAGGCCAGUGAAGAUGAGACUCCUGUGGGACACCAAGAAGACCGGUUUAUUAUAAAUGAUAAAAGCUCAGAGGCUCAGCUGAGGCUUGAAUCCAGGCCUGGGUGUUUCUGCAUGGAGUUUGCAUGUUCUCCAUGUGCAGGUGUGGGUUUUCUCCAGGCACUCCAGUUUCCUUCUACAGUCAAAAAAUAUGACUGAUAGGUUGAAACGUCUCUUCAAAUUGUUCUCAGGUGUCAGUAUUUGUCCUGUGUGUUUAAUUUCACAACAUAAGUGCUCAAUAAAUUUAUUAAUUAC